RNAcentral lists this ribosomal RNA (793 nucleotides) under Methanosaeta sp. enrichment culture clone A22129. RNAcentral's name for it is "bacterial SSU rRNA". It matches the Rfam family "Archaeal small subunit ribosomal RNA", at positions 85 to 879 of the family's 1478-position model. The record is from RNAcentral. Lineage: Archaea; Methanobacteriati; Methanobacteriota; Methanomicrobia; Methanotrichales; Methanotrichaceae.
ACUGCUCAGUAACACGUGGACAACCUGCCCUUAGGUUGGGUAUAAACCCGGGAAACUGGGUAUAAUACCCGAUAGGUCUCGAUUGCUGGAAUGCAUCGAGAUUUAAAGCUCCGGCGCCUAAGGAUGGGUCUGCGGCCUAUCAGGUAGUAGUGGGUGUAGCGUACCUACUAGCCUACGACGGGUACGGGUUGUGAGAGCAAGAGCCCGGAGAUGGAUUCUGAGACACGAAUCCAGGCCCUACGGGGUGCAGCAGGCGCGAAAACUUUACAAUGCUGGCAACAGCGAUAAGGGAACCUCGAGUGCCAGGUUACAAAUCUGGCUGUCGAGAUGCCUAAAAAGCAUUUCAUAGCAAGGGCCGGGCAAGACCGGUGCCAGCCGCCGCGGUAACACCGGCGGCUCGAGUGGUAACCGUUAUUAUUGGGUCUAAAGGGCCUGUAGCCGGCCGGAUAAGUCUCUUGAGAAAUCUGGCAGCUUAACUGUCAGGCUUUCAGGAGAUACUGUCUGGCUCGAGGCCGGGAGAGGUGAGAGGUACUUCAGGGGUAGGGGUGAAAUCUUGUAAUCCUUGAAGGACCACCAGUGGCGAAGGCGUCUCACCAGAACGGACCUGACGGCAAGGGACGAAAGCUAGGGGCACGAACCGGAUUAGAUACCCGGGUAGUCCUAGCCGUAAACGAUACUCGCUAGGUGUCGGCCACGGUGCGACCGUUGUCGGUGCCGUAGGGAAGCCGUGAAGCGAGCCACCUGGGAAGUACGGCCGCAAGGCUGAAACUUAAAGGAAUUGGCGGGGGAGCAC